AACGAACGCUGGCGGCAUGCCUAACACAUGCAAGUCGAACGAGACCCCUGACUUCGGUUGGCGGGUCUAGUGGCGCACGGGUGCGUAACGCGUGGGAAUCUGCCCUUGGGUUCGGAAUAACUCAGAGAAAUUUGAGCUAAUACCGGAUGAUGACGAAAGUCCAAAGAUUUAUCGCCCAGGGAUGAGCCCGCGUAAGAUUAGCUUGUUGGUGGGGUAAUGGCCUACCAAGGCGACGAUCUUUAGCUGGUCUGAGAGGAUGAUCAGCCACACUGGGACUGAGACACGGCCCAGACUCCUACGGGAGGCAGCAGUGGGGAAUAUUGGACAAUGGGCGCAAGCCUGAUCCAGCAAUGCCGCGUGAGUGAUGAAGGCCUUAGGGUUGUAAAGCUCUGUCGGGUAGGAAGAUAAUGACGGUACUACCCGAGGAAGCCCCGGCUAACUACGUGCCAGCAGCCGCGGUAAGAGUCACGUCG
This 473-nucleotide ribosomal RNA is filed under the name uncultured bacterium. RNAcentral's name for it is "bacterial SSU rRNA". It matches the Rfam family "Bacterial small subunit ribosomal RNA", at positions 29 to 534 of the family's 1533-position model. The record is from RNAcentral.